GAGGCAGAUCAAGACGCAGGGCGCGGGUAUUCCGCUCAUCCCUUCCACUGCCAAUGCUUGAAAUUCGGAAGCAUUGAUUCAUUGGCGUCACCGGUCAAAGGAAUUUAUGUUCUCUCUUGCCUCCAUUUGCAAAUUAUAACUGGUUUGUUUCCGACCAAUAACAUUCAGAUGUUGCACAAAACUGAACCGAUAGUUGCUCAGCUGUUUUCUUCUUAAGCUUGUUGAUCUCGAAGUUUCGUGACUGUAAUAAGAUAUAUGUUU
RNAcentral lists this unclassified non-coding RNA (261 nucleotides) under Hevea brasiliensis (rubber tree). The record is from RNAcentral. Lineage: Eukaryota; Viridiplantae; Streptophyta; Magnoliopsida; Malpighiales; Euphorbiaceae.